UGUCAUUCAUUUGAUGUGAUCGAAGUUAGAUUUAAUUCUUUGAGUAAGUGAGAGAGUUUCAGGCAGUAUUGGCCGGAAUGCAUUAUCAAGGAAUAAUAGUAUGAGGCUUCGGGUUUAUAUAUUGCAUUUGUGGACAAAGUAAUGAUCAAUAGAAACAAUUGAGGGCAUCGGUAUUUAACAGUCAGAGGUGAAAUUCUUGGAUUUGGUAAAGACUAACGUAUGCGAAAGCAUUUGCCAAGGAUAUAUUCGUUGAUCAAGAACGAAAGUUAGGGGAUCGAAGAGGAUCAGAUACCGUCUUAUUCUAACCAUAAACUAUGUCGACUAGGAAUCAGGUGACCAUAUAUCACUCUCAGAGCAUCUACACAGAGAAAUUAAAAUUUUGGACUCUGGGGGAAGUAUGGUUGCAAGGCUGGAACUUAAAGGAAUUGACGGAACGGCACCACCAGGGGUGGAGCGUGCGGCUUAAUUUGACUCAACGCGGGGAACCUUACUAGGGUAAGACAUGAAAAUGAUUGACAGCGUGCAUGCGCUUUCUUGAUUUUAUGGGUGGUGGCGCAUGACCGAUCUUAGUCGGUGGGGUGACUAGUCUGUUUUAUUUCGAUACCGAACGAGAUAUCGUCCUGCCUAGUUGCAAUAGUCUAUAUCUGUAGGCAAUAGUCAAUAGUUGGACCAUCAGAGCAAUAAGAAGGAAGCGACGGUCUAAAUCAGAUGUAUGAUGACGUCUGAUCCUCUGGGGGGCACGCCCGAUACAAUGGAUAUCUAAACAUGCUACAUAUAUGAAAAGUUAUGCGACUCCCAAAAGAUAGGUCAUGAGAGGGAUAGUUUACUGCAAUUAUAGCCCCGAACGAGGAAUCCAUUGUAAAUUCACUGAAGCAUAGAGAAUGGAAUACGUCGCAAUCCCAUGGCACACAACGCCCUUCGUUUCUUUUUCUUGACACUCAUUGCGAAAUUCGGGGAGAUGUAGAUUAAGCCGUUGCGAAUUUCGGGUAAUGGAGAAAGAAAAAGUCGUAACAAGUUAACC
This 1021-nucleotide ribosomal RNA is filed under the name uncultured eukaryote. Its description in RNAcentral is "bacterial SSU rRNA". It matches the Rfam family "Eukaryotic small subunit ribosomal RNA", at positions 718 to 1804 of the family's 1831-position model. The record is from RNAcentral.